This 690-nucleotide ribosomal RNA is filed under the name Triticum aestivum (bread wheat). RNAcentral describes it as "partial small subunit ribosomal RNA". Lineage: Eukaryota; Viridiplantae; Streptophyta; Magnoliopsida; Poales; Poaceae. The record is from RNAcentral.
AUGGGGGAGGCGCCGGCCGCGUCCUCGACCACGGUGGAGAUGGAGGCCGCGGAGCAGCUCAUCCAGCUCAGCGGCGGCGGCUGCGACGACGACAGCGCCGAGUCGGAGUGCAAGAGCGCGGACAGCGUCAGGGCUGACGAGAAGGUGCCGGCCGUGGGGAGCAAGAGCGCGGACAGCGUCAGGGCUGGCGAGAAGGGGCCGGCCGUGGAGAGCAAGAGCGCGGACAGCGUCAAGGCAGCUGGCGAGAAGGCGCGGGCCGCGGAGAGCGUCAUGGCAGCCGGCGAGAAGGUGCCGGACGUGGAGAGCAAGAGCGCGGGCAGCGUCAAGGCCGGCGAGAAGCGGGGAGGUGGUAAAGAGGGGGUGCCCGCCGCUGAGAGCAGCACCGGGAAGAGACGCGAGAAACUCGGUGGGCCGAAGGGCGGCGGACAAGACGAGGAGGCCGUCAUCGGCGGGGUCGCGAGGAGGAGGCCGAGGUUCCGGUCGCUGGCGGCUAUAUACAGGAACACGAGGAGGAUGGACGACCACGGGCACCGCCGCGAGGAGGCGGAAGAGGAAGAGAUGGGUGAGGGGAAGGGGGAGAAAAAGAAGAGAAGGGCGAUGGGUGGGGCCGCCGCCGCCGACGGCGAGGCGAUCCCCGCGGCGGCGCCGUGCAAGGCCAAGAGAUCAGGGGUACGCCGAAGAACUAGCUAG